RNAcentral lists this long non-coding RNA (902 nucleotides) under Olea europaea subsp. europaea. Lineage: Eukaryota; Viridiplantae; Streptophyta; Magnoliopsida; Lamiales; Oleaceae. The record is from RNAcentral.
UAAAUUAUAUAUAUAUAUAUAUAUUUUAAACAUAUAUACAAUUGACAUAAAUUAUAUUCCACCUCCAAACUCAGGAACCCCUACUCACUGGACACUCUACCCACGCUCUAGAAAAUUUCUAGAAAUUGAAAACUUCUUCUGGAUAUUACACCCAACUCCAUAAGUACUACAUUUACUUACCACUAUCACAUUCAAUUCAAAUCCACAAUCAUAAACAUUACAUUCACUUACCUGUGUUAUCUGUUAUUGUCUGUGAUCAUGUUAGUCUAAUUUGUGAUUGUAUGUAACAAAGUCACAUACAAUUAUAAUUAACAUAUAUUUGGUAACAGACAAUCACAAUGAAGAUAGAUUUAGUUACACUACGUUGCCAUCACUACCACCAAUCCCAACAAUAUCGAGAACAGAAAGCACACAACUUUACCAUGACCACAUGCACCACCAACAACAACACCAUCGUCGCCUACACUACCAUCAACAAAACCACCCUACAGAUCCGGAAAUCACCAGCACUAUUUGAAAAACACCAACAACCAUCCCAAAAAUUUGGCUAAACAAUAGAUCUGAUAAAACAACCACCCACGACAUGUGAUUAAACAACUGCUUACACCAACACAUCAAACAACAGAUCUGCAAUUUCCCACAAAAACUGAACUAGAAUAGCUUGCCCCUCAGUGCCGCCAACAGGAAAUUACUCAGCGAUACCACUCAUCCCUGCAUAGUGGCGGCUCAUUGCAAGCAGAGCUCAUCCCUGCUCGCAUCACCUAAUCUAUGAAUUGUAAAUUAAUUUUCCUUGUUUAUGAUAAUUAGUUUUUAAUUGUAGGUUUCUAGGUAAUUUUUACAAUUAAUAAUUUUUUUGGAUAAAGUAUCUUAAAUAUAAUACAUUGAAUCACUUUAUUAAGCUC